CUCAAUGCUUUUCUGUACCUGGAUCCCUCCUGCCACAGCUGCUUACAGAACAGGAAAUCCCACCAUUCACAACUAACAGGCCCCCACGAGUGUGAGUCUGGUCAACUGAGAGCAAGGGUCUUGGAGAGGGCUGCACCAACUCUUGCCAGACCCUUUGCCAGCCAAAGUUUGGAGCCUCGCCGCCAGCAAGGAUGGGGGAACAGGUUCAAGUCCAUAAUAUGUGCUCUGAUGUGACAGGUGUGUCUUGCUGCUGAAUUGACUGUCCGAUGGGAGCUUUAGAAGGGUCUUGAUGCUCUUCAGGUCCAAACCACCAUCCGUAAACUGUGGAACACAAGUGCUCUUCUGGGCCCAGCCAAAGUGGGACCACCUAGUCCAGCAUCCUGUUCUCAGCACUGGCUGGCCAGGUGCUUCUGGGAAGUUCAUGCACAAGGCAUGAAGGCCACCCCAGGAUUAAUUGGGUCCCUCAACAUCAUUGGUGCUCUGAUAACACCAGUUUAGUCCCAUUGGAAGCUGCCUUCUUAGACCACAGAUCCAACUGGCUCACAGCUCACUACUAGAUAUGUGCACAAAAUUUCUUAUAAAGUAUCAUGUGUUUAAUGAGAUGAUCAAAAUUACGUAUUAGCACAUCACAAACCCUCCAGAACUUGCUUUACUGAAUCUGUAAUGCAACUGUGCUUCGUGGAUAAACAACUAAUUGGAUUUCUUUAAGGGGCUGCAUCUAUGGCUCUAGACACACUAUGGAAGGACUUGAA
Molecule: non-coding RNA, 752 nt
Organism: Zootoca vivipara (common lizard)
Lineage: Eukaryota; Metazoa; Chordata; Lepidosauria; Squamata; Lacertidae
Source: RefSeq, a predicted model, not a curated record